RNAcentral lists this ribosomal RNA (253 nucleotides) under uncultured bacterium. Its description in RNAcentral is "partial 16S ribosomal RNA". It matches the Rfam family "Bacterial small subunit ribosomal RNA", at positions 524 to 776 of the family's 1533-position model. The record is from RNAcentral.
UACGUAGGGUGCGAGCGUUAAUCGGAAUUACUGGGCGUAAAGCGUGCGCAGGCGGUGCGCCAAGCUCGAUGUGAAAGCCCCGGGCUUAACCUGGGAAUUGCAUUGGGGACUGGCGUGCUCGAGUGCGGCAGAGGGGGGUGGAAUUCCACGUGUAGCAGUGAAAUGCGUAGAGAUGUGGAGGAACACCGAUGGCGAAGGCAGCCCCCUGGGCCGACACUGACGCUCAUGCACGAAAGCGUGGGGAGCAAACAGG